GGACCCGCACAAGUAGUGGAGCAUGUGGUUUAAUUCGAUGAUACGCGAGGAACCUUACCUGGGCUCGAAUGGAUUUGGACCGUUCCUGAAAGGGAACUUCUCUUCGGAGCUGAAUUCAAGGUGCUGCAUGGUUGUCGUCAGCUCGUGCCGUGAGGUGUUGGGUUAAGUCCCGCAACGAGCGCAACCCCUAUUCUUAGUUACCAGCACGUAAUGGUGGGGACUCUAGGAAGACUGCCGGCGUAAGCCGCGAGGAAGGUGGGGAUGACGUCAAAUCAUCAUGGCCUUUAUGCCCAGGGCUACACACGUGCUACAAUGGAGGGUACAGAGGGUAGCGAAGCCGCGAGGUGGAGCCAAUCUCACAAAGCCCUUCCCAGUUCGGAUUGGAGUCUGCAACUCGACUCCAUGAAGUUGGAAUCGCUAGUAAUCGC
RNAcentral lists this ribosomal RNA (428 nucleotides) under uncultured bacterium. Its description in RNAcentral is "bacterial SSU rRNA". It matches the Rfam family "Bacterial small subunit ribosomal RNA", at positions 917 to 1345 of the family's 1533-position model. The record is from RNAcentral.